GUUAUAAGUUAUAGAAAGUAAAUAUGUUAAUAUAGGAAGUAAAUAUUGAUAGAUGGAUCAGUUGCUUAAUCUUAGGGAUUGUAGAAUUAUAGGCUUGAUUUUCCUUCCUGUUUAGUUACCGUCUCUCAUGUAUAAAUAGGUUGUAAUUUCUAUUGUGAUAUACAACAAUAAAUAUUAUCUUUCUACAUGGUAUCAGAGCC
RNAcentral lists this long non-coding RNA (200 nucleotides) under Manihot esculenta (cassava). RNAcentral describes it as "long non-coding RNA (MESC_LNC011359)". Lineage: Eukaryota; Viridiplantae; Streptophyta; Magnoliopsida; Malpighiales; Euphorbiaceae. The record is from RNAcentral.